This is a non-coding RNA of Macaca mulatta (Rhesus monkey), 1770 nucleotides long. The record is from RefSeq and is a predicted model, not a curated record. Lineage: Eukaryota; Metazoa; Chordata; Mammalia; Primates; Cercopithecidae.
AUCUUACUAUGUUGCCCAGGCUGGUCUCGAAUUCCUGGGCUCAAGUGAUCCUUCCGCCUCGGCCUCCCAAAGCGCUGGGACCGCCCGCCUGGGCCACCACGCCCGGCCUUCCCUGGCCUCUUUCACACCUGAGUUGUGGCUCAUGAGUCACCUUGUGACCUCCUCUCCCCCGACAGUGUUUUAGGGUUACCGGUCUUGUUGCGGUGUCUAUGCCCCUGUGCAGCGCUGUGGGAGCAGGGCUGUGUCUGGGUUACCCCAGCAUCCCCAGGGCCCAGCCCAGUGACCACACCUGGAAGCGCUGGUGUCUAAAUGUGCGGAUAAAUAAAACACAGCCACCCAGCAUCACCGCUGUGGAGUGACAGUCCCCGCCAGGUUACUUCAGGGCGGAUAUCUGUGGCCUGAACCCCAAAGGCCAGGCGGUGAGUCCAGGCCACGGUGCCCAGCGAGGAGCAGGUGUCCCCGAAAACCCAAACACCCCAGAGGGGAUGUGAGAACCACCGCAGAGAGCAGGCCCAUCACACAGACGGGCGCAGAGGCAGGAAAUUAGCUCAAACGCAGCUUAGGGAAGGAAGCACGCCCAUCUCUACUGCUGUCGUGCUGCCCACGAGUGCCCCAUAUGUGAGUUCUGAUAAACUCACCAAGCUGGACUCCGCCCAGUCGUUCUUUGGUCUCUCGGCAACUCCUACUUUGGGGUAAGGUUUUAAAUGUGAUUCUCGGUUUUUCUCAUUACAAGUGGUCAUCAGGAAAACACAAACCAAAACCACAGUGAGCUCCCACUGCACCCCACCAGCAUGGCUAGAAUCAGAGACAAACUUUCCACAGGGCCCAGCCGCCUCACUCCAGGCAUAUACGGAGAGAAACGACUCACAAAUGCACCCAUUCUACUGCAGCGUCGGUAAUGCUCAACAGGCGGAAACCACCCAAAUGUCCACCCCCUGAAGCUGGAGACCAACCCUAACAAUAAGGUGGCCAGGCCAGUGAGACAGCUCCCAUCUGCAGCUGGAGGCACUGAAGCCAGAGGACCACGCCUGCUCUGCUCAAACUCUGCAAUGCCGAUGUGGACGGCGGGUCUUCAAAGUGGUCUCCUCUGCCUUAGGAACACAGCAAGAAAAUGACGUGCAUUCUUGAUUUCACAGCUACUGGAGGAGUCAUCGGCCAGAUCGGCCGAGCAGUUGUUUCUUUUUGACCCGAUAAAAUUAUUUUUAGAAUAGCUCUCUGUUUUCCUGCUCAUGUUUGGCUUAGGAUAAAUAUAGAAAUUGUGCCUUCCUCAGCGUAUGCCACCUGGGUGGCGCAUGAACUGACAAAAGAGAAACUGCUGAGCACUAGCCCAGGAUGAAUAAUUGACCACAGGAAUCUAAAUAUUCAAGAAUAUUAAUGUGUAUUCUGAAGUUAUAGAAAUUAGCCAGUGUUUCCCUGGUGUGAGGACAGACAAUUGGGAAGAAAACAGUCUGGGUAAGACUGAAAUAGCUGAUUACGAGAGCAAAGAUGCCGACCACAAGAGCAGAAUGUAGAUAUGAAACAAAGCUUUAAAUUGGAAAACCAGUUUUAUUUUGGAUAGUUGAAAACAUCCCAGUUCAACCAAGUGUAGGAUGCAGCUGUCUUUUAUGAAGCAUGAGUGCCCAUGGAGGUGCCCAGAUGCCCCUCGAAUCCAGUGUGAAUGGCCUUGUUACUAAGGCCUUAAAUCUAAGAUGCUGCUGAUUUUAGGGUGCACUGUUAUUUCCAAGAAAGGGAGAAAUGCUGCCAAUUAAACUGUUCAGUUUUUAUUUUGUA